ACUCCUACGGGAGGCAGCAGUGGGAAUAUUGGACAAUGGGGAACCGUAGCAUCCAGCCAUGCCGCGUGUGUGAAGAAGGCCUUCGGGUUGUAAAGCACUUUCAGUGGGAGGAAAGGAUUGUUGGUUAAUACCUAACAGCUGUGACGUUACCCACAGAAGAAGCACCGGCUAACUCCGUGCCAGCAGCCGCGGUAAUACGGAGGGUGCAAGCGUUAAUCGGAAUUACUGGGCGUAAAGCGUGCGCAGGCGGUCUGUUAAGCGAGAUGUGAAAGCCCGGC
This 278-nucleotide ribosomal RNA is filed under the name uncultured bacterium. RNAcentral describes it as "partial 16S ribosomal RNA". It matches the Rfam family "Bacterial small subunit ribosomal RNA", at positions 335 to 606 of the family's 1533-position model. The record is from RNAcentral.